AAGCGCCUCUGUUUUGUAGGCU
This 22-nucleotide small nuclear RNA is filed under the name Arabidopsis thaliana (thale cress). Its description in RNAcentral is "snRNA_19093". The record is from RNAcentral. Lineage: Eukaryota; Viridiplantae; Streptophyta; Magnoliopsida; Brassicales; Brassicaceae.